This 508-nucleotide ribosomal RNA is filed under the name uncultured bacterium. Its description in RNAcentral is "partial 16S ribosomal RNA". It matches the Rfam family "Bacterial small subunit ribosomal RNA", at positions 30 to 523 of the family's 1533-position model. The record is from RNAcentral.
AUUGAACGCUGGCGGCAGGCCUAACACAUGCAAGUCGAGCGGCAGCGGGAAAGUAGCUUGCUACUUUUGCCGGCGAGCGGCGGACGGGUGAGUAAUGCCUGGGAAAUUGCCCAGUCGAGGGGGAUAACAGUUGGAAACGACUGCUAAUACCGCAUACGCCCUACGGGGGAAAGCAGGGGACCUUCGGGCCUUGCGCGAUUGGAUAUGCCCAGGUGGGAUUAGCUAGUUGGUGAGGUAAUGGCUCACCAAGGCGACGAUCCCUAGCUGGUCUGAGAGGAUGAUCAGCCACACUGGAACUGAGACACGGCCCAGACUCCUACGGGAGGCAGCAGUGGGGAAUAUUGCACAAUGGGGGAAACCCUGAUGCAGCCAUGCCGCGUGUGUGAGGAAGGCCUUCGGGUUGUAAAGCACUUUCAGCGAGGAGGAAAGGUUGAUGCCUAACACGUAUCAACUGUGACGUUACUCGCAGAAGAAGCACCGGCUAACUCCGUGCCAGCCGCCGCGGUAA